GGAUAGCGCAAUGGAUAGCGCGUUGGACUUGUAUUCCAAAGGUUAUGGGAUCGAAUCCCACCUGAGAUU
Molecule: non-coding RNA, 69 nt
Organism: Trichonephila clavata
Lineage: Eukaryota; Metazoa; Arthropoda; Arachnida; Araneae; Nephilidae
Source: the annotation of a GenBank genome assembly